RNAcentral lists this small RNA (299 nucleotides) under Castor canadensis (American beaver). Its description in RNAcentral is "Metazoan signal recognition particle RNA (ENSCCNG00000023142.1)". It matches the Rfam family "Metazoan signal recognition particle RNA", at positions 1 to 204 of the family's 299-position model. Rfam says of the family: The signal recognition particle (SRP) is a universally conserved ribonucleoprotein. The record is from RNAcentral. Lineage: Eukaryota; Metazoa; Chordata; Mammalia; Rodentia; Castoridae.
GCCAGGCUCGGUGGUGCAUGCCUAUAGUCCUAGCUACUUGGGAGGCUGAGGCAGGAGGAUCACUUGAGUCCAGGAAUUCUGGGCUGCAGUGCGCUAUGCCGAUCGGGUGUCCGCACUAAAUUCAGCAUCAAUAUGGUGACCUCCUGGGAGCCAGGGACCACCAUGUUGCCUAAGGAGUGGUGAACUGGACUAGGUCAGAACUCAUGUGCUGAUCAAAACCAAAAAGUUGUACAUGGUAAAAAUUACUGUAAAUAAAGUAAAAAAAAAAAAAAAACUGAGGAAAAUAUUUGCAACUUGCA